GUCUACAGCCAUAACACCCUGAACGUGCCCCAUCUCGUCUGAUCUAAGAAGCUAAGCAGGGUCAAGCUUGGUUAGUACAUGGGUAGGAGACCACCUGGGAAUACCAAGUGCUAUAGAAA
RNAcentral lists this ribosomal RNA (119 nucleotides) under Peromyscus maniculatus bairdii (prairie deer mouse). Lineage: Eukaryota; Metazoa; Chordata; Mammalia; Rodentia; Cricetidae. The record is from RNAcentral.